CCGUGCCAGCAGCCGCGGUAAUACGGAGGGUGCGAGCGUUAAUCGGAAUUACUGGGCGUAAAGCGCAUGCAGGCGGCCUGUUAAGUCAGAUGUGAAAGACCCGGGGCGUUAACCUCGGAAUUGCAUUUGAAACUAGGCAGGCUAGAGUCUUGUAGAGGGGGGUAGGAAUUUCAGGUGUAGCGGUGAAAUGCGUAGAGAUCUGAAGGAAUACCAGUGGCGAAGGCCGGCCCCCUGGACAAAGACUGACGCUCAGAUGCGAAAGCGUGGGGAGCCAAAACAGGAUUAGAUACCCCUCGGUAG
RNAcentral lists this ribosomal RNA (300 nucleotides) under uncultured bacterium. RNAcentral's name for it is "bacterial SSU rRNA". It matches the Rfam family "Bacterial small subunit ribosomal RNA", at positions 503 to 793 of the family's 1533-position model. The record is from RNAcentral.